GAUGAACGCUGGCGGCGUGCCUAAUACAUGCAAGUCGAGCGGUAAGGCCACUUCGGUGGUACACGAGCGGCGGACGGCUGAGUAACGCGUAGGAACAUACCCCAAACUGAGGGAUAACUGCCCGAAAGGGUAGCUAAUACCGCAUGUGCUCUUCGGAGUAAAGCUACGGCGGUUUGGGAAUGGCCUGCGUCCGAUUAGCUAGUUGGUGAGGUAAUAGCUCACCAAGGCGACGAUCGGUAGCUGGUCUGAGAGGAUGAUCAGCCAGACUGGGACUGAGAACGGCCCAGACUCCUACGGGAGGCAGCAGUAGGGAAUUUUCCACAAUGGACGAAAGUCUGAUGGAGCAACGCCGCGUGCAGGAUGAAGGCUUUCGGGUCGUAAACUGCUUUUAUCUGUGAAGAUUAUGACGGUAGCAGAUGAAUAAGGACCGGCUAACUCCGUGCCAGCCGCCGCCGUAA
Molecule: ribosomal RNA, 458 nt
Filed under: uncultured bacterium
Lineage: Bacteria
Description: partial 16S ribosomal RNA
Rfam family: Bacterial small subunit ribosomal RNA
Source: RNAcentral